Molecule: long non-coding RNA, 618 nt
Organism: Gadus morhua (Atlantic cod)
Lineage: Eukaryota; Metazoa; Chordata; Actinopteri; Gadiformes; Gadidae
Exons: 4
Source: RefSeq, a predicted model, not a curated record
GCACGCUGGAGCCGGGGCAAAACACUGUGGCGGAAAAUAUCCUUCUUGCUCCUCACCUGCCGGGACACCAGAAGCAUCGCUACUGAAGCACCUCAGCAUGUAGCACGGGAUGCCUGCUGUAAGGACGUUCCAUAGAGGGGUCCAGGAUGGGCUUGUGUCUGAGGAGCUGACUGAGAAUGGUGGCUCUGUGUACUGGGUCCUCCACCCCAGCCUCCUUCAGCUCUUCAUCAGUCACAGUCAGCAAGCCCUCCAGAAACAGAGAGAGAGAGGAAAACAUGUGUUCAGUGCUGCUACUGAAACAUGCACAGACAUAAUAUCAAUAUGAACUGUUCAUCCGACUGACCACACACUUGGCGUGUGUGUUGAUGAGGACCCAAGGAAGUGCAGUGUCAAGAGCUGAAGUUGUUUGAGAGGUUCUCAAAAUAGCUGCAAGCAGCAAUUCCGGAGGUCGAGCAAACGGCCCACUCCCAUCGGCAUUGAAAGGUGUCUCGUUUGGGGUUUGCCAUUAGUGCACUUCUCCUUGAACGGUGGGAUCGCCCUGCGAGGCCAAUCAAGACGAGCGCUGGGAUCCCUUUCAAAGCGACUAACCACAGAGCAGUGGUUAGAGGGGACCGUCAG